AUGGCCUCAUCCGCCGCCGCCUCCUCUCCCCUCUCUGGCCAGAUCACCGAGCGCCUCACUCGCACCAACUAUGUCCUAUGGCGCACUCAGAUCACGCCGCAGCUGAGAGGAGCUGGAGUCUUCGGGUACGUUGAUGGAAGCACGGCGGAGCCGGCCGAGUUCGUCGUCAGCAAGGACAAGGAUGGAAAGGAGGAAACCAUCCCAAAUCCACUCCAUGCCGUCUGGUUCCGAGAGGAUCAGCAGGUACUCCGUUAUCUUCUGAAUAACCUGUCCAAAGAGGUGCUAGUGCAGGUCACCUCCAUCGCGCAUGCACGCGAGCUCUGGACGGCGCUGGCGAGCAUGUUCUCGUCGACGUCGUUGUCCCGCAUCAAACAACAUCCGCGCCGCCCUCACCAAUGCGCAGAAAGGAACGCAAUCGGUGGCCACCUUCUUCGCACACAUGCGGGGACUCGCUGA
This 456-nucleotide ribosomal RNA is filed under the name Triticum aestivum (bread wheat). RNAcentral describes it as "partial small subunit ribosomal RNA". Lineage: Eukaryota; Viridiplantae; Streptophyta; Magnoliopsida; Poales; Poaceae. The record is from RNAcentral.